GCAAUCGACGNAUACAGUGGCGAACGGGUGAGUAAUGUAUUGCUAAUCUGCCCCAUACUCGAGAAUAGCAGGUGGAAACACCUGGUAAUACUCGAUGUGUCUGGAGUUCCGCAUGGAACUCCAUACAAAGCUCCGGCGGUAUGGGAUGAGGCAAUAUGGUAUCAGCUUGUUGGUGAGGUAACGGCUCACCAAGGCUUCGACGCCUAACCGGACUGAGAGGUCGGCCGGUCACAUCGGGACUGAGACACUGCCCGGACUCC
This 260-nucleotide ribosomal RNA is filed under the name uncultured Gram-positive bacterium. Its description in RNAcentral is "partial 16S ribosomal RNA". It matches the Rfam family "Bacterial small subunit ribosomal RNA", at positions 79 to 339 of the family's 1533-position model. The record is from RNAcentral.